RNAcentral lists this ribosomal RNA (253 nucleotides) under uncultured bacterium. Its description in RNAcentral is "partial 16S ribosomal RNA". It matches the Rfam family "Bacterial small subunit ribosomal RNA", at positions 524 to 776 of the family's 1533-position model. The record is from RNAcentral.
UACGUAGGGUCCAAGCGUUGUCCGGAUUUAUUGGGCGUAAAGAGCUCGUAGGCGGUCUGUCGCGUCUGCUGUGAAAACUCAGGGCUUAACCCUGAGCUUGCAGUGGGUACGGGCAGACUAGAGUGCGGUAGGGGAGACUGGAAUUCCUGGUGUAGCGGUGAAAUGCGCAGAUAUCAGGAGGAACACCGGUGGCGAAGGCGGGUCUCUGGGCCGUAACUGACGCUGAGGAGCGAAAGCAUGGGGAGCGAACAGG